GGUGAGCCUCAGUUGAGGACGCGCGGGGUCCGGAGACGGGGGGCGGGGUCUGCCCGAACCCCCGCCCCCAACCAACUCCGCCCCCCACCUUCCAGGACAACAGGUGUCUGAGAACCGGGCUUGGAGGGGGGGCGCAUGCUCCGCGGGGGAGGGGUGGAGAGACCCCGGGCUGUCACCGCCUCCUAGCGCGCGGCCCCAAGGGCCCAGGCCUCGCUGUCAGCGCGCCCCGCCCCCCCGCCUCCGGCUCCGCCCCCCUGCUCCGGCCCCAACUCCAGCAGAAGCCAGAGUCGGAGCCCGGACCCCAAGCAGGCAGCGGCGGCGGCACGCGGGACUGGGCACCGAUGGAAACCUCCUCCCUCCGGGGCUCGGUUCAGCUCCUCUGGGAGGGCCUCCUCCGGAUUCGGAUUCAGGAUUGAGCUGGUGACAGUCAGAAGAAUCUCUCUCUGGAGAAGGAUGGCUGGCUGAACUGGUGUCUAUAUUCUUGUUUGGACAAAUCUUGUGGUGAGUAAUCUUUCUCUUAGGACUUAUGCCUGGGUUGGCCAGGGCUGCCCUGGGCCGGCCUAUCCUUUUCUCAUUAUUCCUUUUUUUCUCUCUUUCUCUCUUUCAUUAAUUCCUCAUUGUAUGAAUUAAAAUCUCUAUAAAACUCAGUUGACUUGGGUAUAUUUCAUAAUUGCGAAUAUUUCCCUGGCAACCACCUUAUAUAUUUGAUUUUAAAACAAGACACUGUCUUGAAACCAUAUUUUCUGUGGUCACAAUUUACUCAUCCACUCUUAUAUCUACUACAAUUUAAGUCUUCCACUAUUUUAAUUAUCACAAGGAAGAGUGACAGGAUGAAGUGUUGAUGGAUCUGCUCACUUCAACGGGGGAAGAGCCCCAGUGUGAAUCUUAAAAACAACUCAGACUGUACUUUAGAAAGAUUUUAUUUAGCUAGUUCCCUAGUGUAACAAUGGAGAUACUUGGUCUAACAAGAAUCAGGAAUGUCUUGGGAACUUUACAUUACUCCACCCAUACUUAGACCUACUUUAGGAGGAGAUAAAGUUGUAAACUCCUGAUUGAACAGUGAAGGCACUUAACUCAUACCUUAUAGUGAAGCUAGAAACUUAAGCUAAGUCUAUUUUUAGAUCUAAUACAAAAAGGUGUUAAGUACCUAUAAAGGUUAAAUUAAUCACAAAAGAUCAAGUACCUCACAAAAGGCAAGCUUAUCAAAGAAGUGUGAAGUAUUCAAAAGAUAUAAUCUAACCAGAGAAGGUGAGAACUAAAGAGUGGUGAGAACUAAGAAUGGGCAGUCCUGGAAAAAAGCAUCUACUGUUAUUGAUAGAUGUAAAAAUUUUGGGGAGGUGACAUAAGAGGAAACUUGUCUUUAAAAGGACGCUAAAAGUCAGUUCAGGUUUAUUCUGAACUCAGUUCAGGAGAUUGAGUUCAGUGGAGGACUGGAACCCAGCUCAGAGACGGUCUUGUGGUGAGUGAUAAGACUGACUCCCUUACCCUUAGGCCAAGGCGUUUAACUACUGCCUGGCUCAGCUUGAGCCAGAACAGUUUAAAUUAAUUCCCUCUCUCUCUCUCUCUCUCUCUCUCUCUCUCUCUCUCUCUCUCUCUCUCUCUCUCUCUCUCUCUCUCUCUCUCUCUCUCUCUCUCUCUCUCUCUCUCUCUCCUUUCCUUAAUUCUUUCUCUCUAUAUUAAUUAAAAUCUCCAUAAUUCCCAGCUGACUUGGGUAUUUUAUUAUUUGGAAAUCAUCCCUGGUGACCAAUUAUUUAGAUUUAAAUCAAAACACUAAAAAUAUCCUUUACAGAAAUAAUAAAUGCAACCUUUUCAGAUCA
Long non-coding RNA from Monodelphis domestica (gray short-tailed opossum), 1817 nucleotides. Lineage: Eukaryota; Metazoa; Chordata; Mammalia; Didelphimorphia; Didelphidae. The record is from Ensembl.